RNAcentral lists this microRNA precursor (85 nucleotides) under Drosophila willistoni. Its description in RNAcentral is "microRNA dwi-mir-315 precursor". Its record names the gene dwi-mir-315. It matches the Rfam family "mir-315 microRNA precursor family". Lineage: Eukaryota; Metazoa; Arthropoda; Insecta; Diptera; Drosophilidae. The record is from miRBase by way of RNAcentral.
CACUUAUAUAAUUUUGAUUGUUGCUCAGAAAGCCCUCAUUACUUUAUCAGUUGGCUUUCGAGCAAUAAUUGAAACCAAAUAAGUG